This 31-nucleotide non-coding RNA is filed under the name Rattus norvegicus (Norway rat). The record is from RNAcentral. Lineage: Eukaryota; Metazoa; Chordata; Mammalia; Rodentia; Muridae.
UACUAUUUCUUUGUGGGAAAGUCAUACAUCA